This 493-nucleotide ribosomal RNA is filed under the name uncultured bacterium. RNAcentral describes it as "partial 16S ribosomal RNA". It matches the Rfam family "Bacterial small subunit ribosomal RNA", at positions 28 to 507 of the family's 1533-position model. The record is from RNAcentral.
GACGAACGCUGGCGGCGUGCCUAACACAUGCAAGUUGAGCGACUAACCAGGGCUUGCCCUGGGGCAAAGCAGCGAACGGGUGAGUAACACGUGGGUAACCUACCCCUAUAACCGGGACAACCCGGGGAAACUCUGGCUAAUACCGGAUGUUCUCACUCUACUUCAUUUCAGUGCGUAAAAGGAGCUUCGGCCUCCGUAUCGGGAGGGGGCCUGGCCGCAUUAGUUUGUUGUUGCGGUAGCGGCUCACCAAGACCGCGAGCGGGAGAUGGUCUGAGAGGACGAUAAGCGAGAUUGGGAACGAGCCAGGCACAAGACUCCUACGGGAGGCAGCAGUGGGGAAUCUUGCGCAAUGGGCGAAAGCGUGACGCAGUAACGCAGAGUCGGGGACGACGGCCUUCGGGUUGUAAACAACUUCCAGGAGGGACGAAGGUCCGGCGGUGAAUAGCAGUCCGGACUGACGGUACCUCCACAAGAAGCCCCGGCUAACUACGUG